GAUGAAGAACGCAGCGAAAUGCGAUAAGUAAUGUGAAUUGCAGAAUUCAGUGAAUCAUCGAAUCUUUGAACGCACAUUGCGCCCGCCAGUAUUCUGGCGGGCAUGCCUGUUCGAGCGUCAUUACAACCCUCAGGCCCCCGGGCCUGGCGUUGGGGAUCGGCGGAAGCCCCCUGCGGGCACAACGCCGUCCCCCAAAUACAGUGGCGGUCCCGCCGCAGCUUCCAUUGCGUAGUAGCUAACACCUCGCAACUGGAGAUCGGCGCGGCCACGCCGUAAAACACCCAACUCUUCUGAAGUUGACCUCGAAUCAGGUAGGAAUACCCGCUGAACUUAAGCAUAUCAAUAAGCGGAGGA
This 354-nucleotide unclassified non-coding RNA is filed under the name soil metagenome. RNAcentral describes it as "partial contains 5.8S ribosomal RNA, internal transcribed spacer 2, and large subunit ribosomal RNA". The stretch from base 1 to 120 matches the Rfam family "5.8S ribosomal RNA", at positions 35 to 154 of the family's 154-position model. The record is from RNAcentral.